GGAAGGAUCAUUAACAAAUAAAAACAAAUCUUUUUUUUUGAAUGAUAUUAAAUCAAAAAAAUAGGAUUUGCUUUGUUUAAAAACUUAAAGUAAAGGUUUUUUACCAAAGUCUUUAUCAACUAAAAAAACAAAUAAAAUAACACUUUCAACAAUGGAUAUCUUGGCUCCCGUUUCGAUGAAGAACGUAGCAAACUGCGAUAAUUGACGUGAAUUGCAGAAUAAAGUGAAUCGUCGAGUUUUUGAAUGCACCCUGCACCUCGGGGACAAAUCUCUGAGGUAUGCUUGGUUGAGUGUUACUAUCAUAAUUUAAUUGAAAAAAUAUUUGAAGGUCUCAUUUGAGUCCUUUGAAACAAAAAUUCAGUUCAACUAAAUUUCCAAAUACAGAACAAUUUUACAGAAAGAGAAAUGAAAAUUUUUUUGUACUGUGAGAUUCUCUACUGUAAUUGGGAAUAAGGUUUGUUAAAUAUACCUCAACUCAAGCAAGACAACCCGCUGAAUUUAAGCAUAUUAAUAAGCGGAGGAAAAGAAAACAACAGUGAUUCCCUUAGUAACGGCGAGUGAACAGGGAAAAGCUCAGACUUGAAAUCUGGAAGUCGAUUUUGAUUUCCCGAAUUGUAGUCUUUUGAGUAUCACCCCUUGGUUUCCUCUGUCAUGAAAAAGUAUCCUGGAACGGAUUGGCAUAGAGGGUGAGACCCCCGUUUUCAUAUGACGGAGAGAAGCUGAUACAGUGGGUGGUGCUUGUCGAGUCAGGUUGCUUGAGAGUGCAGCCUAAAACGGGUGGUAAACUCCACCUAAAGCUAAAUAAGCAACGGGAGACCGAUAGCGAAAAAGUACCGUGAGGGAAAGAUGAAAAGUACUCUGGAAAGAGAGUAAAAAGUGCUUGAAAUUGUUGAAAGAGAAGCGUUUGAACUUAGUGGCUGCCUUGUCCUUGGUAAAAUCUUUCAUGCAGCAAUGUCUGGAGGGUAUUUCACCAGGGACGGUGGGCUGGCACUGGUUGAGUUGUUGGCCUCAAGAAGGCCAAAAGCAGCUGGAUUGCUUGAAUGGGUUUGAGCUGCAUGGGUGCAGCAGGAGACCAGGUAACUGGCCUUUUUGCUGUCUGAUGUGGCAAACGACCUAUUUUUUUUUAACAAGCACAUGCUCACUUGACCAGUAAUUGAAUUAAAGUCUCAGUCCCUUCACCAGCUUAACCUGUGCUUGGUCAUCUGGCUUGGCUCAAUGUGCGGGGCCACCUUAUAUGCAUCUUUUGCAGAUUCCUGUAAGAGAGCAUGUGAGACCCUGUUCUUGGUGCUGCGUCAAAUGGUGAUCAAUCUUACGGGGGUUUGUACUCUGACUGCCAGCAAAAUAAGUUCAAAUGUCCCGUCUUGAAACACGGACCAAGGAGUCUAACAUGCACGCGAGCGUUCUGGUGAUUAAAACCAAAUAAAAUCAAUCAAACGCGAAACGAAAGUGAAAAGAAGUGGGAAGUUGCUCUUUCCAACUUGGGAGCUGCUGCACCACUCGCCCACUCUGAGGUACGUCCAAAAAGGGUGAGAGUGAAAGUGUGCAUGAUAGGACCCGAAAGAUGGUGAACUAUGCCUGGGUAGGACAAAGCCAGGGGAAACCCUGGUGGAAGUUCGUAGCGAUACUGACGUGCAAAUCGUUCGUCAAACCUGUGCAUAGUGGCGAAAGACUAAUCGAACCAUUUAGUAGCUGGUUCCCUC
RNAcentral lists this unclassified non-coding RNA (1700 nucleotides) under uncultured fungus. RNAcentral describes it as "sequence contains 18S rRNA gene, ITS1, 5.8S rRNA gene, ITS2, 28S rRNA gene". The stretch from base 466 to 1700 matches the Rfam family "Eukaryotic large subunit ribosomal RNA", at positions 1 to 961 of the family's 3401-position model. Lineage: Eukaryota; Fungi. The record is from RNAcentral.